UAGAAGAGAGAGCAAAAUGCCCCAGUAAGAGGAAGUUGUAGCCCUUGACGUCCCAGUAGAUGCUCCGCCCUUUCAAAUAGGAGAAAGCACAGGCUGAGAGCACGAAGAAGGAGAACGGGGGAAAGAGAGUGACUGCGACCAAGGGAAAUAGCGAGCAGAUGAUGUUUACAGGUCCGUGAUAAAAUGACUAAAACUUUGCGAAAAAAACACGAUGAAUUUAUGUUCAUACGACAAAGCUGGACGUCGCUUUUGGACCUUGGCAGACACCCCUGGUAAAAAGAUGACGGAAGAAUUCUUAGUUCCAUAAUAUAACUAUGAAUUUGUUCCACAUACAUGCAAAGUGAAAGGACGUGAAUGAAUGGAAGAUUCCAGUCAUCUGUCAGUUUGUGGGCGUUGUCAUGAGAUUGCUGGGAAAAGAAUACUGCUUGACCCCUACUGGACAAACAAGUGGAGACUACAGCUUUGUCGGGAAGAUGGCGGCUCUGAUUUUUGAUUUUGAAUUUGCAAAAUAACUUUUUGGUUUUGUUUUUAAUGUAACUUUUUUUUGCAGUUGUAUUCUGCUGGUAAAUGUGUUUAAUUCCCCCUUAUUUGACAAUUUUGUUGGUGUUUUUUUCUUUCAGCUAUUAAUUGUAUUAUUAUUCUAAGUUGAAUACAUCAUUUAAUAUUUAAAUAAAAAUAGUUUUGAACGAUAUUGAUUUUCUCUCAUUUAAUUGGGGAAAUGUGUCUUAAAAUCUGAGUUAAGCUUUCUUAUUAAAAUGGUUAUGAUUAAUAUUUGUUGUUUUUGAGGUUUGUCAUUUUCACCUGGAUAAUGGUUUAGCAAGUCUUCACAAAUUAAAAAAAAGUUCUGUUUUGCAUUCUGACAAUCCUCUUAUAUAGUUAUUGCAUUACAAUCACAAACUUUUAAUUUACUAUUUAAUUUUAAAAUCUAAUUUUGACUCACCUGAGAAAGUAUAGUCCCUUUUAGAUUUAUAGCGCUGUAUUUAAACAAUAUAUUUGUGGCUGUGCAAAUAAUAAUUUUUUAAUGGUACAAACUAUGCUCACAAUGCUUUAGUCUUUUAAGACAAGCUUGUGUAUAGAUGUCCUAAAAUGGUGUCUUUCACAGUCCAAAGCUCUAAAAUGGCUCCCAAUGUCUGAUUUCCUGUCUGAGCAGGAAGUGAUUCUGUCCUGAAAUUUUCCCAUCCCCUGAAAACACAGAUUAAUAAAGUUUAAGAUUA
Tachysurus fulvidraco (yellow catfish) is the source of this 1214-nucleotide long non-coding RNA. RefSeq lists it as uncharacterized. The transcript is spliced from 6 exons. The record is from RefSeq and is a predicted model, not a curated record. Lineage: Eukaryota; Metazoa; Chordata; Actinopteri; Siluriformes; Bagridae.